ACGAUGAUGCCCAGCUUGCUGGGCGGAUUAGUGGCGAACGGGUGAGUAAUACGUGAGUAACCUGCCCUUGACUCUGGGAUAAGCCUGGGAAACUGGGUCUAAUACUGGAUACUACCUCUUGCCGCAUGGUGGGUGGUGGAAAGGGUUUUACUGGUUUUGGAUGGGCUCACGGCCUAUCAGCUUGUUGGUGGGGUAAUGGCUCACCAAGGCGACGACGGGUAGCCGGCCUGAGAGGGUGACCGGCCACACUGGGACUGAGACACGGCCCAGACUCCUACGGGAGGCAGCAGUGGGGAAUAUUGCACAAUGGGCGGAAGCCUGAUGCAGCGACGCCGCGUGAGGGAUGACGGCCUUCGGGUUGUAAACCUCUUUUCAGUAGGGAAGAAGCGAGAGGUGACGGUACCUGCAGAAGAAGGCUCAAACUACGUGCCAGCAGCCGCGGUAAUACGUAGGGCGCAAGCGUUGUCCGGAAUUAUUGGGCGUAAAGAGCUCGUAGGCGGUUUGUCGCGUUCUUGCUUGUGAAAGCCCGGGGCUCAACCCCGGGUCUGCAGUGGGUACGGGCAGACUAGAGUGCAGUAGGGGAGACUGGAAUUCCUGGUGUAGCGGUGAAAUGCGCAGAUAUCAGGAGGAACACCGAUGGCGAAGGCAGGUCUCUGGGCUGUUACUGACGCUGAGGAGCGAAAGCAUGGGGAGCGAACAGGAUUAGAUACCCUGGUAGUCCAUGCCGUAAACGUUGGGCACUAGGUGUGGGGGGACAUUUCCACGUUUUCCGCGCUCAAACGCAUUAAGUGCCCCCGCCUGGGGGAGUACGGCCGCAAGGCUAAAACUCAAAGGAAUUGACGGGGGCCCCGCCACAAGCGGCGGAGCAUGCGGAUUAAUUCGAUGCAACGGCGAAGAACCUUACCAAGGCUUGACAUUCACCGGACCGCCCCAGAAGAAUGGGGUUUCCCUUCGGGGCUUGGUGGAACAGGUGGUGCAUGGUUGUCGUCAAUCAGUGUCGUGAGAAUGUUGGGUUAAGUUCCCCGCCAACCGAAGGCGCAAACCCUCGUUUUCUAUGUUGCCAGCACGUGAUGGUGGGGACUCAUAGGAGACUGCCGGGGUCAACUCGGAGGAAGGUGGGGAUGACGUCAAAUCAUCAUGCCCCUUAUGUCUUGGGCUUCACGCAUGCUACAAUGGCCGGUACAAAGGGUUGCGAUACUGUGAGGUGGAGCUAAUCCCAAAACAUUUCAAGCCGGUACAUUUCCUCAGUUCGGAUUGAGGUCUGCAACUCGACCUCAUGAAUCAAGAGUCGCUAGUAAUCGCAGAUCAGCAACGCUGCGGUGAAUACGUUCCCGGGCCUUGUACACACCGCCCGUCAAGUCACGAAAGUUGGUAACACCCGAAGCACAUUUCCGGUGGCCUAACCCCUUGUGGGAGGGAGCCGUCGAAGGUGGGACUGGCGAUUGGGACUAA
Molecule: ribosomal RNA, 1452 nt
Filed under: Kocuria sp. ECSYW-28
Lineage: Bacteria; Bacillati; Actinomycetota; Actinomycetes; Micrococcales; Micrococcaceae
Description: 16S ribosomal RNA
Rfam family: Bacterial small subunit ribosomal RNA
Source: RNAcentral